ACCUAUGGCCAUAUCACCCUGAACGUACCCGAUCUCGUCUGAUCUCGGAAGCUAAGUAGGGUCGGGCCUGGUUAGUGCUUGGAUAGGUU
RNAcentral lists this ribosomal RNA (89 nucleotides) under Ochotona princeps (American pika). Lineage: Eukaryota; Metazoa; Chordata; Mammalia; Lagomorpha; Ochotonidae. The record is from RNAcentral.